GCGGGAUCUUCAUUCGAGGUUAUGAACGAUAGGAGAGAAAUCGUUCACUGUCUUAUCUCAUCAUUUCAUCGCCUUUUGAGUCCUCCAACUAAAACAUGUAUGUAGUGAAGAGGACCUUGCCUCUGAGGAGCAGCACGAGGAGACGGACAAGGAACUCCAAUCUGGACCAGGAGGAAACAGAUCCUCCUCAGUUUGAAAUAGAAUUUGAGGAUCAAGAACUUACUCCUCAGUUUGAAAUAGAAUUUGAGGAUUCAGAACUCAAACAGCUUGAGGAUGAUAAGGAACUAGAAAUUCCACAAGUUAAGGAGGAAGAAGGGGAACUGGACUUUCAAGAUGUUAAAAAGGAAGAAGGGGAUUCAGAAAAUUCACAAAUUGAAGAGGAUUCAGAAAAUACACAGGUCAAAGAGGAAGCGGAUAUCUUAGCCAAUGAGAACAGUACGGUGCUCGCACUGAGGCAGGAGACUGAUGCUCCUCUUCAAACGACGCAAGAAUUGGCUGAUAAUAGGACUGCGCAGGAUUGGCCACUGGAAGGCAAAAGUAAGUAUAAUUAUGUGGAACAUCAUGCUGUCUCAAAAACUAAAUCUAUCCUUUUGUGAUUUCAGCUGAAGAUCUUUAAUUUCAGAAUGAUAGCCACGAUAGAUUUCGUCAGAUAUAAUUACAUUCAUUAUAAAAUCAGUGCACUCUAGAACCUGGUAAAAUCUAGAAAAAAAUUAAACAGAUGUGCUUCAAAUAUUCAGUUCAGUAGCACACCAGCACAAGAUUCUGUUUUUUCUUUAUGAAUUCCAGUUCAUGUGGAAGGUUGUGCAGGUGUAAUCACCUCAUACCCUUGCCCACA
Molecule: long non-coding RNA, 835 nt
Organism: Salarias fasciatus (jewelled blenny)
Lineage: Eukaryota; Metazoa; Chordata; Actinopteri; Blenniiformes; Blenniidae
Exons: 3
Source: RefSeq, a predicted model, not a curated record